AUUGAAUGCUGGCGGCAUGCUUUACACAUGCAAGUCGAACGGUAACAGGCCUUCGGGUGCUGACGAGUGGCGAACGGGUGAGUAAUGCAUCGGAACGUGCCCAGAGGUGGGGGAUAACGCAGCGAAAGCUGUGCUAAUACCGCAUGUGAUCUGAGGAUGAAAGCGGGGGACCAAGCAGCAAUGUUUGGCCUCGCGCCUCUGGAUCGGCCGAUGUCAGAUUAGGUAGUUGGUGGGGUAAAGGCCUACCAAGCCGACGAUCUGUAGCUGGUCUGAGAGGACGACCAGCCACACUGGGACUGAGACACGGCCCAGACUCCUACGGGAGGCAGCAGUGGGGAAUUUUGGACAAUGGGCGCAAGCCUGAUCCAGCAAUGCCGCGUGCGGGAAGAAGGCCUUCGGGUUGUAAACCGCUUUUGUACGGAACGAAAAGGCUCUGGCUAAUACCUGGGGCUGAUGACGGUACCGUAAGAAUAAGCACCGGCUAACUACGUG
Molecule: ribosomal RNA, 492 nt
Filed under: uncultured bacterium
Lineage: Bacteria
Description: partial 16S ribosomal RNA
Rfam family: Bacterial small subunit ribosomal RNA
Source: RNAcentral